UGUUAAAAAUUUAAUCCGAUUGUACUGUUAAAAACUAGGAUGGCUAAGGGAAUAAUCAUAUAGUGACACGUUGUGUCACGUGUACCUCAUGCAAAUGUAUAGGGACUAAUUUUUAAUAAUAGAAAUUGAUAAAUUUUUUAACA
Gossypium raimondii (Peruvian cotton) is the source of this 143-nucleotide non-coding RNA. The record is from Rfam. Lineage: Eukaryota; Viridiplantae; Streptophyta; Magnoliopsida; Malvales; Malvaceae.